This 548-nucleotide ribosomal RNA is filed under the name Colletotrichum gloeosporioides. RNAcentral describes it as "partial 18S ribosomal RNA". The stretch from base 191 to 344 matches the Rfam family "5.8S ribosomal RNA". The record is from RNAcentral. Lineage: Eukaryota; Fungi; Ascomycota; Sordariomycetes; Glomerellales; Glomerellaceae.
CCUGCGGAGGGAUCAUUACUGAGUUUACGCUCUACAACCCUUUGUGAACAUACCUAUAACUGUUGCUUCGGCGGGUAGGGUCUCCGUGACCCUCCCGGCCUCCCGCCCCCGGGCGGGUCGGCGCCCGCCGGAGGAUAACCAAACUCUGAUUUAACGACGUUUCUUCUGAGUGGUACAAGCAAAUAAUCAAAACUUUUAACAACGGAUCUCUUGGUUCUGGCAUCGAUGAAGAACGCAGCGAAAUGCGAUAAGUAAUGUGAAUUGCAGAAUUCAGUGAAUCAUCGAAUCUUUGAACGCACAUUGCGCCCGCCAGCAUUCUGGCGGGCAUGCCUGUUCGAGCGUCAUUUCAACCCUCAAGCUCUGCUUGGUGUUGGGGCCCUACAGCUGAUGUAGGCCCUCAAAGGUAGUGGCGGACCCUCCCGGAGCCUCCUUUGCGUAGUAACUUUACGUCUCGCACUGGGAUCCGGAGGGACUCUUGCCGUAAAACCCCCCAAUUUUCCAAAGGUUGACCUCGGAUCAGGUAGGAAUACCCGCUGAACUUAAGCAUA